Podarcis lilfordi (Lilford's wall lizard) is the source of this 70-nucleotide non-coding RNA. NCBI's taxonomy places the organism in Eukaryota, Metazoa, Chordata, Lepidosauria, Squamata, Lacertidae. The record is from the annotation of a GenBank genome assembly.
GGCCAUAGCUCAGAGGUAGAGCACUUGCUUUGCAUGCAGAAGGUGCCAAGUUCAAUCCCCGGCAUCACCA